Molecule: long non-coding RNA, 482 nt
Organism: Xenia sp. Carnegie-2017
Lineage: Eukaryota; Metazoa; Cnidaria; Anthozoa; Malacalcyonacea; Xeniidae
Exons: 3
Source: RefSeq, a predicted model, not a curated record
GACAACAACUUACACGUGUUGGGUCCAUGACUUCGUUCACGUUGUUUUCAAUUUUUUUUGAAUAAAUUGUGCACAAGGGGAGACCAUGUGUUUACUGUUCACAUCGAUGGUGGUAAUAUGGUCAUAUCACAAGUUUUGUUUGUUGAGCCAAGAUAUCCGUUGAUAAAAUCUAGCGUCAAAAAUUCAACUCUUGGCGUUUGUGGGGCUCGUAGUCAAAGACUUUGGGUUCUAAAUCUUUUGACUUAUUUGCAUUAGAGUCAGUGAACCAGUAAUAAGACAAUAAACUGUCUGAUAAUUGAGGAAACUAUCCAUUAAAUUGAAUUUGAUAGACUACGGUAAAACAAGGAAGAAACUAUGUGAUUUUCUCUUGGCAUCACUGGUAUAGACAUAGGAAGAUUAGUUUAAAAACAAAAAUUCUCUCUGAUUUGCAAUCUUUUCAAUAGUCAAUUUGCUUUUAUUACCAUCUCUGCAUUAGAAAAAAU